RNAcentral lists this ribosomal RNA (292 nucleotides) under uncultured bacterium. RNAcentral's name for it is "partial 16S ribosomal RNA". It matches the Rfam family "Bacterial small subunit ribosomal RNA", at positions 505 to 796 of the family's 1533-position model. The record is from RNAcentral.
GUGUCAGCAGCCGCGGUAAUACAGAGGCCUCGAGCGUUAGGCGGAAUCACUGGGCUUAAAGCGUGUGUAGGCGGACUUCUAAGUACCUUGUGAAAUCCCACGGCUCACCCGUGGAACUGCUUGGUAUACUGGUUGUCUUGAGCCUUCUAGGGGCGAGUGGAACAAAUGGUGGAGCGGUGAAAUGCGUAGAUAUCAUUUGGAACGCCAAUGGUGAAAACAACUCGCUGGGGAAGUGCUGACGCUGAGACACGAAAGCCAGGGGAGCGAACGGGAUUAGAUACCCUUGUAGUCC